AGCAAGGGUUUAUUACCCAACUCCGAAACACUAACUACUGCACUGUCUUGUUUAGACAAGCAUUCUCAAAUGCACAUGAUUUUGAGUGCUAUGGAUCAGCUUAUCCCUUGUUCUAAUAUUCUUGGUUCCAGUACCUAUAACAUGCUCAUCAGGGGCCUUUUGAAAGAAGGAUAUAGGAGUGCAGCUGGUCGCUUGCUAGAUGUAAUGUUGGGGAAGGGUUGGAUUCCUAGUACUGAAACUCAUCAAUUACUGGUUGGUUCUGUUGUAAAAGAGGAAUCAGAAGUAAGAGCAUAUAUGAGCGAAAAUUUUGGUCCGCAGGAUGAGGUUAGCAGCAUACUUGAAAAUGCAUUGGCUCAAACAUAACCUGAUUCCAUAUAUCAACACUAUCAUUGGCCGUUGUUGAAUGUCUCCAUUAAGUGCGAUUGUGAAAGCCUCUGUAAGACUUGUAGAUUUCAUCUCAGACUUCAGUGCUAUAAAAGGUAUGCUAUGUUCACACAGCACAUAACUUUGCUUCACGUGGCAUGGGUACUUAACAAAUUGUUCUUCUGACAGUCUUACAUGCACUUAAUAUGUUGGUACAUACUCCACCAAAUUUUAAAAAAUUUUUUUUUUUUGUGUUUUUAAUUUCUUUAGUGGUAGGGCUGGUGUCGGUGUCAGGUCCUGAUUAUGACACUUCAGUGGAUACUGUCAAGUUGUUUUUCGGAUGCUUCUUUGUUGUAUACGUUCUUUGCGGGGAUGUUUCUCAUCAACUCAUGCUCUAUUACAAAUGUACUGAAUUUUGAAGGAAGUUGCUAGAUGGGAAAGUUGUAGGAGCUCUUUGGAAAGAGAUUCUUUUGGAAAGUCAUCUGUACUUGGAACGUCUGGAAUUACUGUUGUACAAGGCAUAAAGGCUUUUGGUUCAUUCGUCCCGGAUAAGAUAAUUAUGUCGUGGAAACUGAUAAUGAUAGGUAUGCUUGCUGAUAGUUUACGUGAAAUUAAUUAAGAGCUACAAGCUUGCGAUGUGGCCUUUUACAUCAUGCACUGGAGGUUAAGGUAAAAGGGACUUGAAUGAAGACGGUUUAGAUAAUACUUACUUUUUUGGGAGGAAUUAGAAGGUACAAUGAAGUAAGGGGACACUUUUGAGCAGCCAAAAGGAUGAGCCAGUUAUCACCUGAACUCCUAAACCUGGGAGUUAAAUUAAAGGUAAAAAAUCUACAUACAACAGAAUUUACAGAACGAAUGACAGGCAGCUGACAGCAGAUUGUUCAAGGCAUAUGCAAUUUGCAGAGUAUGAAAGAUACGGCAACUGGAUUGGAUCAAUGAAAAUUUUGUGGUAUGCUGGUUAUAUCUUGUAUGUAUAGUAUAAUUGAGCUAUAUUGAAGCAUGUUUAAAGCAGGUCCAACAUUGUUAUUAUGUUGAUCCUUCUUCUAGAUGCAUGUGUACACUCAAGUGGGAAAAAAUUGUGCGAGCUUCUGAUGGCAACCUGCUUCACUUGUAUCUAUUGUAAUGACAUAAAUCAUGGCAUAGUUGUCAAUGACUAGCUCUUGUGAUGUCUGUGAGAAGGUUUAAUGUUUUUGAAUCUUCAGACUAGAAUUAUUAUUAUUAUUAUUAUUAUUUUUGGCUGCCUCUGUGGAGUAGUUGGGAAUUUUCGUGAUUGUUGUACGUGGAAUUUCCACGUAUCAUGUUCACUUUUCUUGUGAAAGGGCAAAAUCUGAACCGUGUAGCGUGUCUGCAUUGAGGUUAAGGCUUGCUCUUUGGGACGGAUAAAUGCAGCUAGUUUGGUUUAGAUUCUGGAUUAAUGACUUAAACAGAAGUAGUCUGGUGGACAUGGUCCUGUGCUUAUCAUUCUUCUCCUAGUCUCUGGGAUUUCAUGCUGUGUAAUUUGUAUCUUCUGGCUUCAGCUGGGAUUUUGGAUCAUUCUUGCCUAGUCUUUGUGGUGGUGUACUUUGUUUCUUUAGCUGGGAUUAUGAUGACAACAUAACCUCGUAAUGCGAGCUCUUUUAUGCAGGCGGGCACUUGUUUGCUGUAAUUGCUAUUGGAUUCUUCAGUCAUGCACAUGCACUUAGGUAUCCAAAACAUGAUCUUGUGUAGUAACAUGGGGCAUGCGGUAGAUUAAGUCUUUCUGCAUGAUUGAGCACAUUUACUAAGGUAAAGCUUAAAGGCCAGUUUAAGUAAUCGCAGCAGUUUUCUCUGGCAAAUUGCCAUCUGCUAGGUCGUAGGUACACAACAUUCAAAAUUAUUUUUUUCUCCAGUUUCUGCUAAUUUCUUGCAGCUAACGAGAGCCGUCCUAGUUAUUCUUUUCUUGGUUUCGUCUCCAAAACCACACGGGGCCAUGCUUUUUCUCUCCCCAACCUGGUAAUGAUCCAUUGCAAUGUUAAAUUCACAUCUGAAAAUGUACUAGCUCGAUUAUCAUGAACGACUGUCUUGUCUAGAUGAUGCUCUUUUCUGCGCGUCCAAUUCGAAGGAAGGAAGGAAGAUUCAUGCGACAGCCAACGGGCAUUGUCUGUGGUUGUUGGACGUGUUGCACGUUUGACGCGAGGUUGGUUUACUUUCCGCGAAUACUGCUGCCAUUGAAGAUCAGUCGGCAGUCUGACUUUGAUUUUUUUUUUUUUUUUUUACUAACGACUGCUAAUCCUCCCAUGGAGGGAAAACCAUCCAACUAUACUAAUUGUUGUUUGUGACCCAAUCUCGUGUGUGUCAAUUUCUUGAUUGUCAAAAGGGAUGGAACAUAAAGACUAGGACUCAAUUCCUGUUUAACACCCCCUAUGGCUUGACAGGAGGAGGGAAAAAAGCAGUGGAGGAGGCAGGCAUACAUGGUACAGGACUAAUGACUUGUCCACUGACUUUGGGUAUUGACUCUCAAGUCUCACCCAUUGGAGGCAAGAAAGCAGCAUGAGUUGCUUGGUCCAUCAAAUUGCCUGGUGGGGUGGAAAGUGGAAAGUGGGAAGUGGGAUUUGUGUGAGUCCUACUACUUAAUAGUGCAUAAUCAUUUUGUGCAUUGUAUGGCUAUAUCCCAUUACCUAGUUGCACAAAUUGAGAUGGUAUGCAAGCCAAGCCAACUGGUGUGUCACUUAAAUGAUACCAGAUUUGGUUAUUGAAUAAAAUUUUCAUAUUGGGUUUUGAACUUUUGAUACAAAUAAAAUUCCAAAUUCACGUAUAAAUGAGUUAAGCUACUUGAGUUUGAAUUAAAGUUGGCUUGAUAAAAUAAAAAUCGGUUGGAGUUCAACGAGAAGGAUGCUAAGGUGCUCGGCUCCGGAGUAGAAGUCCAAUUCUUGAGACAGCUUACAAUUUUAUUUUAUUUUUUAAAAAAAAGAAGAGAAGAGAGAGAGAGAGAGAGAGAGAGAGAGAGAGAGAGAGAGAGAAAUUGUUCUGGAGGAAGAGAGUAUAAAGAGACUGUAUAAGGAACUAACAGAUAUAUAGACUCAAUAAAUCAAAUGAGUGUUCUAGUAUCUCUUUUAAAUUUUUUUCAUUGUAGGUGAGAUUCGAACCCCUGACUUGCAGUUCAAAGAGAGAUUUAUUCACUUUUUUAUGGCCACUGAUGAUUUACAUCACACUUAAUUUCUCUUUUUAUGAAAAAAUUGGUUGGACAUAUAUCUACUUAUCUAAGACUAAGAGCUGCUUCUAGCAUUGAACAUCAAAGACGAAAUUUUUCAUCUAUGAUUGAACACUCCAAAUCAUUAAAAUUUGAUAGGGUAGGAGAAUCUUGCCUCCCACCAAUUGAUACAUUAAGGUACUAUGGUUAAAAAAUUUAGACGGGUGUAUAAUGUAUCCAUCUGGUCCAAUAUAAAUUAUAUAAUUAUCGUUUUGAAAAAAAAAAAAAAGAACACCCAAUAGAAAGAGAAAGAGAAAAAGAAAAAGAAAAAUGAAAAAAUGUAAGGAGGAGAAGAAAACAAAUUACUCUUUUUAACUUUUUGUUAGCGACUGACUAAUGAACUGCCCAUCCAUCCAAAUGUUCUUGCACAAACGUCACCUAAGCAUAAGCUUUUUUUUUUUUUUUGGGAGAAAAACCUGAGCCCUAAUUCGAAACUUGUACUAUAUGCUAAAAAAGUUGCACUAAAAAUGUUAAAAUGCCGGUUGAGAAAUUAAUGUCUCGAGAAACAGGAGAGCAAUGGCAAUCACGGAAUCCCAGUGUCCCAUUCCUUAUUUGGUGUUAAAUUACUUCCUGAAUCAAUUUUUAGUUUUUACUUCUUCCUCUUCCACAGGGAGCGAUUCCCAGGCAAAUCAUUAAAAAGCGAAAAUCCCAGGUUAGAGUUUGAUCAUUCCCGCUGUUUACUACUUUUCUUUGCUGCAAACCUUUCAUAUGGAACUUCAAUGGCUGUAAAGCUUGCAUCUUUAGCAUUUUUAAAGAGAAUUCCCAAAAGGGUCAAUUUAAAUGCCUCUUUUUCUUCACUUUCAUGUGCAAAUGUUGUUCAUAUCAAUUCAGAAACUGAUCAUACUCCGUCAAAAUCUGCUGAUUUUGAGUCAAAGAUCCAAUUUUUAAAGAAUAAGCUUCAUCCAGAUAUCUUGGUCCAUGUCUUGGAUUCCACAACUGAUGUAAAUUCUUCGUUGAAAUUGUUCAAAUGGGCUUCACUUCAGAAAACGUUUAAGCAUAAUGUGGAUACUUAUUAUUUGAUGAUUUUGAAGUUGGGUUUGGCUGGAAAUAUUGAGGAAAUGGAGGGAUUUUGUAAUGAGAUGUUAAAGGAGAAAUGUCCUGGUUUUGAUGAAGCUUUCUUGGGAUUGAUUGAAUGUUUUGUUAGAAAUGAUAGGCUUGACGAGGCUUUGAGGGUUCUUUCUUGUAUGAAUUCAAGAAGUUUUAAGCCUUCAGUAAGUGUUUUUAAUAUAGUAAUGGGUGCACUUUUGGUGGCAAAGAGGGAUUUCAAGGAUGUAUUAUUUGUGUAUAAAGAAAUGGUGAAAGUAGGAAUUGUUCCCAACGUGGAGACUUUGAAUUACUUGUUGGAAGCGCUGUUAGAGGAUGAUAGGGUGGGUACAGCUUUGGAACAAUAUAGAAGGAUGAAUAAGAAAGGGUGUAGUCCUAAUAGUAGGACCUUCGAGGUUCUCAUUAGUGGACUUAUUGCCAGGGAAAGGAUCGAUGAAUCUUUGCUUCUUUUAGAUGAAAUUUUUGAACUUAGGUGUGAGGUGGAUUUGAGCUUUUACACUCGGAUAGUACCGCUGCUUUGCCAGAUUAAUAAAUGUGAGGCAGGGAUGAUGUUACUUGUGAAGAUGAAAGCUUCAAAAAUUUCUCCAGAUUCUUCAACUUAUGGAGCUAUGAUAAUAUGUUUAUGCCAGAAUCUUUAUGUGGAUGAAGCUGUCAACCUUUUUGAAGAGAUGGUGGGCAGCGGAAUAACUCCAGAGGAUGAUCUCUAUGUGGAUAUUGUGAAGGGAUUUUGUACAUUAUGUAAAUUUAGUGAAGCAAAGAAGUUUUUAGUAGAUAAUGAUGUUGAUAUAACUUGUCCUUACAAUGCACUUCUUGGAGCUUAUUGCAGUUAUGGUAAUCUUGCGGCAGCAAAAGAUCUGUUUGAUGAUAUGUUUGAGAGGAGUUUAACUGAUAGCUUGUCUUGGAAUUUCUAUAUUCGGUGCCUAUGUGAGAUUGGCGAUAUCAAGAAAGCCUUGGAAGUUCUUUGUAGAAUGAUUGUUUUUUCAUUUCUUCCUGACUCUAUCACUUACUCCGCUCUUAUCAUUGGCAGAUGCAAGCAGGAUGAACUUGAUGAUGCUAUACUGUUGUUCAAUCAGGUCCAGCAGAAGUGUGAUGUUUUGGAUUCUGUAUCCUAUGCUGAACUUGUUAGAUGCCUUUCUUAUAAUGAAAAGAUUCAAGAGGCUGCUGAAGUUUAUUGUUAUAUGUCAGGAAAGCAAGUAGCUUUGCAGUCAACCUCUUUUGAUUUGUUCAUUAAGGGGCUUUGUGCAAUAAGAGAAGUCGAGAGUGCAAUCAGGUUUCUAUCUCUUGCUCAUUGUUCUGGUACAUCGUACUCGUCUGUAGCUUACUACAGCAUAAUGCGAGUUUUAUCCAAGUUAGAAAAGGCAGAUGACCUUUUAGUGGUAUUAUCACGAAUGAUUGUAGAUGGUUGUCCUGUUGAGGAAGAAACUUAUUUUAUCCUCAUAGAAAGUAUGAGUCUAGCUGAUAAUCCAGACCAUUGUGCUCGGUUUUUCAAUGUGAUGCUCAGCAAGGGUUUAUUACCCAACUCCGAAACACUAACUACUGCACUGUCUUGUUUAGACAAGCAUUCUCAAAUACACAUGAUUUUGAGUGCUAUGGAUCAGCUUAUCCCUUGUUCUAAUAUUCUUGGUUCCAGUACCUAUAACAUGCUCAUCAGGGGCCUUUUGAAAGAAGGAUAUAGGAGUGCAGCUGGUCGCUUGCUAGAUGUAAUGUUGGGGAAGGGUUGGAUUCCUAGUACUGAAACUCAUCAAUUACUGGUUGGUUCUGUUGUAAAAGAGGAAUCAGAAGUAAGAGCAUAUAUGAGCGAAAAUUUUGGUCCGCAGGAUGAGGUUAGCAGCAUACUUGAAAAUGCAUUGGCUCAAACAUAACCUGAUUCCAUAUAUCAACACUAUCAUUGGCCGUUGUUGAAUGUCUCCAUUAAGUGCGAUUGUGAAAGCCUCUGUAAGACUUGUAGAUUUCAUCUCAGACUUCAGUGCUAUAAAAGGUAUGCUAUGUUCACACAGCACAUAACUUUGCUUCACGUGGCAUGGGUACUUAACAAAUUGUUCUUCUGACAGUCUUACAUGCACUUAAUAUGUUGGUACAUACUCC
This 6700-nucleotide long non-coding RNA is filed under the name Coffea arabica (coffee). RNAcentral describes it as "long non-coding RNA (CARA_LNC001399)". Lineage: Eukaryota; Viridiplantae; Streptophyta; Magnoliopsida; Gentianales; Rubiaceae. The record is from RNAcentral.